AGGGCUGUGGGAAGCCCACCAGUGGAGCUUCAUGAAGAGUGCAUUGCAUAAUUCUGCACCAUGUCCCUUGGAAAAGUCUGAGACUUGGACCAACAGUAGCCCUAACAGCUCUCCUUGAGCCUCAUGAGGGUGAGUACCCAGAGAGGAGUCCAGGAAACUGAAUCUACUCCAAGAUUUGGGCUACAAUCAUCUGCCCAAACUUAUCUGUAUCUUU
Molecule: long non-coding RNA, 214 nt
Filed under: Octodon degus (degu)
Lineage: Eukaryota; Metazoa; Chordata; Mammalia; Rodentia; Octodontidae
Description: Nuclear RNase P (ENSODEG00000025897.1)
Rfam family: Nuclear RNase P
About the family: Ribonuclease P (RNase P) is a ubiquitous endoribonuclease, found in archaea, bacteria and eukarya as well as chloroplasts and mitochondria.
Source: RNAcentral